Molecule: long non-coding RNA, 28087 nt
Filed under: Triticum aestivum (bread wheat)
Lineage: Eukaryota; Viridiplantae; Streptophyta; Magnoliopsida; Poales; Poaceae
Description: long non-coding RNA (TAES_LNC023974)
Source: RNAcentral
GCAGAGCUUGAAGCUGCUGCUAGCCUCUCAAGUGUACAAUUUCUUUUGUGUCGGAUUGGUUUUACGGUUUGCUGUUGUUGGUCGGAUAUUGUGUUUAAUCUUUUCUUGUUGGGAAUAAUCCACCACCCAAGGGGAUCAAGGUUUGUAGAAUAUUGUUGUUUGUUCAAAGGCUAUAAUAAAAAGUGUUUCUCUUUUUACUAGUAUCAUUUAUAAGUUUUUAUUUAUUAUGAGCUCCUUGGUUUCUUUUGGGCCCAGUGGGUUUCAGGGUUGGUCCUGGGACCAAUUUGAUUUGUGAGAAUUCAGUGAAACUUCACCGAAAAAUUGCAGUUUUCGGAGCAUUUUGGUAGACACGAUUUCACUGUUUUUAUAUGGAUCCCAUGAUCGCGACUGGCUCUUCGGCUCUUUAUUUUGACUGUUACUUCGUAGAUUAUUGCCCCGCGCUCCUCUUGUUGCGCUCACCUAUACAAGCCACGACACCAUCUGCAUCUGCACCAUGCGUCAACGCCGCACACCCUACCGGACUCCAACUCGACUACCUCGUCUCAAGUCAGGUCCCAGCGGUUCCUUGCAACUCCCCACUCCAUUAGCUAUGCCGACAUCAUGUGGUCACCAUUUCUUUCUUUUUUUGAAAAUACCAAACCUAUUAUAAAGAUUCACCGGGAGUACAAAGCACAUCAAACAUAACAAAAAUCACAUCGAGGACGCUCUCUCCGCUCCCAUACCGAAGCCGGCCUGACCUUGUUGAUUACAGUCGGGAAGUCUUCGUGCACGUGCCCUCAAGGACCAGCAUUCGGGAGCCGCGGUCGUCGCCAUUGAAUUCUUGAAUCGAUCUAAAAAAACCGGACACUAAAUCUAGCUAUUGCAUACGCACAACGAGAAACCCUAACCUCGCCGCUCUGUGGAGUUGGCAGGAAUCUACGUCGGAGCUCCGUCUAAUCCGUCCUGACAAACGAACUUGAGGAAGAUCGGAGCCCGGAAGACUGACUCAAAAAAGAAGUGUCGCCAUCCAUCUGAGCGCCGUCCUUGCGAGAACCAAUAUCCUACGUGUAUAAGUUGAGGCACCAGGAAUACCCUCCUGUCACCGGACGCCGCAGCGGCAGGCCAAGGGGAGGCGAAUCCACAGGCCCAUCGGGGAUCGAAGGAAAGAAGGCUUUCCCUAGUCGCCUCAACCUACCCUACCAUCUGCGUCUACGUAGUCGCUUGUCUGCACCGUGUAGGCAUCAACUCAAAGACAAUGCGCUCCUCUCAACCGAGGCGGGUGUAGGCACCUCUUGGUUGGCUAGGUUGGGGAGCAACUACAAUAGAAAAGAGGCUUGUGGUAGAAAAAUAGAAAAACGGAACUGGACCAUCGGAUGGGAGACUGAUGGCCUAGAUUUAGGUGGAGCAAUCUGUCCGGAUAAUUUGCAAAAAGGUCCUUCCCUGCAAGCUAAUUUGGUCUCAGUGCCCUCGUCGUUCAAUCCCAAAUCCCCUACAGAGCAGCAUUCCCAAUGCUGGCGGCUGCGGCCCAGAUCCCUCCUCAAGCUGGCGAGUUCAGAAAAUCUCUGAUGGCUGCUGGUGUCGUGUCGCCGACGGUGCAGUUUGAGGUAGACAAAAUCAAAUCUCCCCGGCUAAUAAGCUCCGCCCCACAGUUUGCUCGUCAAUCUCGUAGCCUCUGAUCUGAAUCUCCGAUAGCACUUGGUUCGUCGCCUCCUCUCUCUCUUUCAGGCACAUCAACUCAUGACCUCCUCCCCCUCGUUAGCGGCAAGCCGGUGGUGAGCUCCUCGGGUCCUUCCCAACCGCCCAAUGUGACUUGGUGUAAACCUACAAAUCUUCAACACGGUUGUUCAUUUUCCUGGUAAAUAGUAGUAACCAAGAUAUCCGACCCCCUUGAAAAAUUAGUGAUGUCUCAGAGGCUAAAAUAGACACUUAAAUGUGUGUGAAUUUCAUGAAGUAAUAUUUGCAAAUAUUUUUGUAUCAAACUAAGAUGAGAUGGGCAUCAACACUGUGCAUAUCUGAAAAUGGUCAUAUUUCACAAAGACUCAAGGUCUAUACUGCAAAUAUGCUAUUUCAUAUCUAACCUUUUGUAGGGGGUUUUCUGUGAAAAGUACAUUAAGUGGUCUGAGAUCCCCCACCUAAAUCUGGGCCAUCCGUCUCCCAUCUAGUGGUCCAGAUCAGUUUUUUCUAUUUUUCUACUACAAGUCUAGAUUCUAUUGUAGUCUUUCUGUGACGCCCCCGAUUCAAUCGUACACUAAUCAUACACGCAAACGUGUACGAUCAAGAUCAGGGACUCACGGGAAGAUAUCACAACACUACUCUAAAACAUAAAUAAGUCAUACAAGCAUCAUAAUACAAGCCAGGGGCCUCGAGGGCUCGAAUACAAGUGCUCGAUCAUAGACGAGUUAGCGGAAGCAAAAAUAUCUGAGUACAGACAUAAGUUAAACAAGUUGCCAUAAGAUGGCUAGCACAAACUGGGAUACAGAUCGAAAGAGGCGCAGGCCUCCUGCCUGGGAUCCUCCUAACUACUCCUGGUCGUCGUCAACGGGCUGCACGUAGUAGUAGGCACCUCCGGUGUAGUAGGAGUCGUCGUCGACGGCGGCGUCUGGCUCCUGGGCUCCAGCAUCUGGUUGCGACAACCAGGUAGAAAGGAAAGAGGGAAAAGAGGGAGAAAAGCAACCGUGAGUACUCAUCCAAAGUACUCGCAAGCAAGGAGCUACACUACAUAUGCAUGGGUAUAUGCGUAAAGGGCCAUAUCGGUGGACUGAACUGCAGAAUUCCAGAAUAAGAGGGGGAUAGCUAAUCUUGUCGAAGACUACGCUUCAGGCCACCUCCAUCUUGCAGCAUGUAGAAGAGAGUAGAUGGUAAGUUCACCAAGUAGCAUCGCAUAGCAUAAACCUACCCGGCGAUCCCCUCCUCGUCGCCCUGUUAGAGAGCGAUCACCGGGUUAUAUCUGGCACAUGGAAGGGUGUGUUUUAUUAAGUAUCCGGUUCUAAUUGUCAUAAGAUCAAGGUACAACUCCGGGUCGUCCUUUUACCGAGGGACACGGCUAUUCGAAUAGAUAAACUUCCCUGCAGGGGUGCACACCACAUAACCCAACACGCUCGAUCCCCUUUGGUCGGACACACUUUCCUGGGUCAUGCCUGGCCUCGGAAGAUCAACACGUCUCAGCCCCACCUAGGCUCAACAGAGAGGUCAGCACGCCGGUCUAAAUCCUAUGCACGCAGGGGACUGGGCCCAUCGCCCAUUGCACACCUGCACGUUGCGUACGCGGCCGGAAGCAGACCUAGCCCCCUUAAUACAAGCGCGAGCUUACGGUCCAAUGCGGCGCGCGCCACUCAGUCGCUUACGUCAAAAAGAGCUUCGGCUGAUACCACGACGCCGAGUGCCCAUAACUGUUCCCGCGUAGUUGGUUAGUGCGUAUAGACCAAAUGGCCAGACUCGGAUCAAAUACCAAGAACUCGUUAAGCGUGUUAUUAUUAAGUAUCCGCGGACGCCGACCAGGGCCAGGCCCACCUCUCUCCUAGGUGGUCUCAACCCGCCCUGUCGCUCCGCCACAAAGUAACAGUCGGGGGCCGUCAGGAACCCAGGCCCACCUCUACCGCGAUGGAGCCACCUGUCCUUUCAGCCCCCUCAUCAGAAUCACUUGCGGGUACUCAACGAGCUGACCCGACUUUAGUCACCACAUGAGUCAUGUAUAUAAAGUAUAUACUGUUGGGGAUCGUAGCAGAAUUUAAAAUUUUUCUACGCAUCACCAAGAUCCAUCUAUGGAGUAUACUAGGAACGAGGGGAAAGGAGUGCAUCUACAUACCCUUGUAGAUCGCGAGCGGAAGCGUUCCAAUGAACGGGGUUGAUGGAGUCGUACUCGCCGUGAUCCAAAUCACCGAUGACUGAGUGCCGAACGGACGGCACCUCCGCGUUCAACACACGUACGGAGCAGCGACGUCUCCUCCUUCUUGAUCCAGCAAGGGGGAAGGAGAGGUUGAUGGAGAUCCAGCAGCACGAUGGCGUGGUGGUGGAAGUAGCGGGGUCUCGGCAGGGCUUCGCCAAGCUUCUGCGAGAGGGAGAGGUGUUGCAGGGGGAGAGGGAGGCGCCAGGGGCUGUCAUGUUGCUGCCCUCCCCCCCACUAUUUAUAGGACCCCUGGAGGGGGGCACCGGCCCUGGAACCCAUCUGCAUGGGGGCGGCGGCCAGGGGGGAGAUUUGCCCCCAAGGCAAGUGGGGCGCCCCCCCACCCUAGGGUUUCCAACCCUAGGCGCAGGGGGGAGGCCCAUGGGGGGCGCCCCAGCCCACUAAGGGCUGGUUCCCUUCCCACUUCAGCCCAUGGGGCCCUCCGGGAUAGGUGGCCCCACCCGGUGGACCCCCGGGACCCUUCCGGUGGUCCCGGUACACUACCGGUGACCCCCGAAACUUUCCCGGUGGCCGAAACUUGACUUCCUAUAUAUAAUUCUUCACCUCCGGACCAUUCCGGAACUCCUCGUGACGUCCGGGAUCUCAUCCGGGACUCCGAACAACUUUCGGGUUUCCGCAUACUCAUAUCUCUACAACCCUAGCGUCACCGAACCUUAAGUGUGUAGACCCUACGGGUUCGGGAGACAUGCAAACAUGAUCGAGACGCCUCUCCGGUCAAUAACCAACAGCGGGAUCUGGAUACCCAUGUUGGCUCCCACAUGUUCCACGAUGAUCUCAUCGGAUGAACCACGAUGUCGAGGAUUCAAUCAAUCCCGUAUACAAUUCCCUUUGUCAAUCGGUAUGUUACUUGCCCGAGAUUCGAUCGUCGGUAUCCCAAUACCUUGUUCAAUCUCGUUACCGGCAAGUCACUUUACUCGUACCGUAAUGCAUGAUCCCGUGGCUAACUCCUUAGUCACAUUGAGCUCAUUAUGAUGAUGCAUUACCGAGUGGGCCCAGAGAUACCUCUCCGUCAUACGGAGUGACAAAUCCCAGUCUCGAUCCGUGUCAACCCAACAGACACUUUCAGAGAUACCCGUAGUGUACCUUUAUAGUCACCCAGUUACGUUGUGACGUUGGGUACACCCAAAGCACUCCUACGGCAUCCGGGAGUUACACGAUCUCAUGGUCUAAGGAAAAGAUACUUGACAUUGGAAAAGCUCUAGCAAACGAACUACACGAUCUUUUAUGCUAUGCUUAGGAUUGGGUCUUGUCCAUCACAUCAUUCUCCUAAUGAUGUGAUCCCGUUAUCAACGACAUCCAAUGUCCAUGGUCAGGAAACCGUAACCAUCUAUUGAUCAACGAGCUAGUCAACUAGAGGCUUACUAGGGACAUGGUGUUGUCUAUGUAUCCACACAUGUAUCUGAGUUUCCUAUCAAUACAAUUCUAGCAUGGAUAAUAAACGAUUAUCAUGAACAAGGAAAUAUAAUAAUAACCAAUUUAUUAUUGCCUCUAGGGCAUAUUUCCAACAUAUAGUAUAUACCCGUGAUCACCUCCCGAAGUGAUCACGGCCCAGUAGUAUAGCAUGGCAGACGGACAAGAGUGUAGGGCCAUUGAUGGAACACUAGCAUCCUAUACUAAGCAGUAGGAUAGCAGGUAAGGGUAACAACUGUAGCAACAAUGAUAGGCUAUGCAGCAGAAUAGGAUUAACCGAAAGCAGUAACAUGCUACACUCUUCUAAUGCAAGCAGUAUAGAGAAGAAUAUGCGAUAUCUGGUGAUUAGGGGGGGGCUUGCCUGGAAGCUCCGCUGAAAGGGAAGAAGGGUCGUCGUCGACGUAGUCGAUCACAGGGACAUCAGCAGCGGUCUCGGGGUCUACCGGAGAAGAAGAGGGGGAAGAAACAGUAAAUAUAAGGCACACAGAUGCAUGGCAUGACAAUAAGCAGCACUAGGCGUGUUCUAACGUAGCACUACGCGGUACCGGCGAAGGGGGAUAACAUCCGGGAAAGUUUUCCCGAAGUUUGUCAUUAUCGGACAGAUGAAACGGAGGGGAAAGGUUGCAUGUUCGCUAUGCUAGGGGCACGUGACAGAUGAACGGAGAGCGUAUUUGAAUUCGUCUCGUCGUUCCGAGCAACUUUCAUGUAUAAAACUUUUUCAUCCGAGUUACGGAUUAUUUUCUAAGAUUUUUCAAAGAUUUAACAAUACCCGGAAAAAUCCUGAAAUUUUGCUAAGUCUGAGAAUUCGUCAGUUUUUAACAUCACUUAGCUGUUUUUAAAAGGCUACAGCUAUCGUUCUGUCCAUCCUGUAAAUUAGUGCCUUAUAUCAAAUCUGAGCACUUUGCUGUGAUCUAAAUGACAGUAUCAAGUGCAGCUAUGUUAGCAUCCAUUUUCUUGAUCAAAACUUUGUUGGAAAAGUGCUACUGCAACAUUUCUGUUUCUGCUUUUCAGUUAACAGAACGUAGUAAUUUGUGAUUUUUGUAGGAUUUAAUCCGCGCAUCAAAUGGACUCUGUCCAGUGGGGUAUAUUGAAGCUUGUCAUGUAUAAUUUCUACACAUAUUAUUUUCAGUCAUGUUAACAACUGUUUAACCAUAGUUUAAGGGCUGUCUAGGGGGUUACUCAUUGUAGAUUUAGAAAAGCUAGAACCAUCUACAGUAGCAAGCAGCGGUACAGUAGAGCAGGAGCAAGCGGGCGAGGGCGCUGCAGCAGGGGAGUCAAGGCUGUGCGCGAGGCGGACGGGCGCGCGUACGCGCAGGUGCGGUCGGGGUGCUCCGGCGGGCGCGCGCAGGAAGCGCCGGCGACAGCAGCAGCCAGUAGAGCAGCUGCUUGCGGCAGCUGCAACAGCAAUAGGCAGGGCAAGUAGCAGCGGCAGUAGCAUCAGGUAGCAGGAGCGGCAGCUAGCAGCGGCAACGCAAAGCAUUAGCGCUAGCAGCGGCGGCGGCAAAGCGAAGGCAGCAGCAAGGACAGAGAGCAGUGGCAGGAUGCACGCAUGUACGCGUACGCGUACGCGGGAUCUCGGACGAACUCGGGGACGACGGCUAUGGCAACGGAUCGAGAGGGCAAGCAAGGGGAAUGGGGGAGGAGCUCACAGUGCAUCCUUGGCGUGCUCAGGGAGGGUCGGGGUGGACCGGAGCCACCGCAACGAUGGCGAGUUGGUGACGGCCGGACGAAGGGGACGAAGACAACGUCAGCUCGAGGGCGUCCCGGCUUGAGCUAGUCCCCAGGACGGACGAAGCCGGGCGCGGCGGACCUCCUGGACGUGCUCCCGCACGCCGGAGACGACGGUGGCCGCGACGAUGACGGCGAGAGGCGUCGGGCGCGAGAGUGGCAGAGGGAGAGGGGGGCGCGAGGGGAUAGGGGUUAGAGUUCCAAGGGGAGAAGGGGGCGCCGGGGUCGGCUAAAUAGGCGGGAUGGGGCGCCGAUGGUCGCCACCGUGGCCAUGGCGCCGUGGAUGGCCGCCACGGCAUCGUCUGCUUCUGUAGCGGGAGGAAGGGGAAAACAGGGGGGUGUUGGGCUGGGCUGUGCAGGCCUGCUAGAUAGAUGGGCCGGGUGGCCCAAGGAAGGGGGCUUUGUUUUAUUUCUGUUUUCUUUUCUUUUAUUUUCUUUUUACAUGUUUAUUUAACUUCACAAUACUUUAGUUAGUUAAAAUACAAAAGUAGUUUCUAAAUUAUUGUACUAUUUAUACCUCUGCCACAAAAAGUUCUAGUCCUAAAUAAAAUAGUUUGCUAAUUUAUAAAAUAAGAAAAGGCAUUUAACUAAUUGUUUUAGCUACUGUUUUCAUUAAUUUUGAGCACUUAAACAUUUUUAAAAAAUGUGGUUUCUUCACCAACAAUACUUAUGAAUUAUUUACCACAGUUGCACAUUUUAGAUUUGACAUUUGAAAACUCUUAUUGUUUGACUUUAUUUUAAACUUGAAUUUCGAAUUGGUUAGAAUCAACGUGGGACCUAGCAACAGUAAAAGCGAUGACAUGGCAUCAUUAGCAAAGAUUACUGUAGCUUAAUUAUCCGGGCGUUACAAUUCUCCUCCACUACAAGAAAUCUCGUCCCGAGAUUUAAGAGGUAGAGUUAAAAGGAAGAAAUUGGUUACGAAAUUCUAACGAGUCUUCUCGAUCUUGGUUGUUCUUUUCGAAGCGGUCGAUCCAUUACGUUGAUGUCUUCAUUUCUCUGCUUCAGGUCAUCAUGAUGAAGUAGGCAUCCUUUCUUCAGGUUCUUCAUCGUACUUACGAAAGGGUAAGAAGGGAAAACUCUAUAAGGACGGAUUCUAACAAGAUCGAGCAUCAGACGGUUAACUCAGGGGAAGAAGCAUAAGUACCUCUCGAAUUGUAACUUAAGAAGAUAUCGAGAGCAAAGUAAGAAGGUACCAUGAGAAGUUUCAAAUGGAUAGGCAAUCGUUCGAUGCCUAAUCAGAAGGUGAAAGGGUUCCAGAGCAACGAGAAUAAGUAUUGUGUCUGAUACCAGAAUAGAUUACUAGGGAGGUGACCCCGUGAAUUACAUACGAAGUCAAGCGCGAGGAAUAACUUUGGAGACAGGGAUAUACAGAAGAGUCAGGUUUCGAUCCUGUGGAACUGUGGGUUAUGGGCCCACCAUGUGAGUUAACGGUAGGAAGGGCGGUGGUAUUUUGCACAGUCAUGAUAACAAGGCAUGUCAGAGGGUAGCCUGUCAGUUAUGUCGGCUACAGCAUCGGUACCAAGGGCGAGGGACGAAGAGAACCCUUUUCCUGCUCGUUGAACGAGGCGGACCAUUAGGCAAAGUUCUCGUCCAUCGGUGGAUACCGGAAUGUCAUCAACAAUAGUAACAUGUUCUUACUGACAGAGUUGUACACCGAGGUGCUUACAAAAGCAGUGACUUAUUACUACUUAGAUCAUAUAAAUCACCAGAAAGGUUAAACAAAACAAUGCAAAGGAAAAGGUGAUCAUCAGAUUAAAUAGAACAAUGGAAAGGAAAAUAAGUUUAAACACAUUAUUCAGGGGUAUAUCCUUCCCAAGGACAAACAGAGCAUGAUAUCCAUGACAUGAUAUAAUGUGGAAAACCAUUUAGGAAAGGGGGGAGAAAUUUCAUGACAUUACCCAUACAACGGUGUUUGGAUAAUUUGAUAAAGAAAAUUCAGUAUGGUGCUUCAGAUGUUCUUAUUGAAAAUCGGAGUACCACAUACAUGCUUCGAGAUAGCAUUGACAUGAUCUUCAGGCAAAGGUCAGACUCUAGAUACACAAAGGACCUAUUAGGAACAACUUAUAGAAUAAGUCUUACAAUUUCCUCAUGGAAGAAUGGUUAACCUUGCUAAAGAGGAAACUAUAAUAAUAGGUCCUCCGGCCAGGUGUGCUAGGCAUGACAUCACCUUAAUGGGCCAUAUAACGACAAAAUGUUAUAACUCUUGGGAAUAUGAUCCAACCAUCAUAUCUGACCAAGAUUCAGAUCUGAUUGGUGUCAGGAUACCUCAGACUCAGGAUGCUUGAAAAUAAAAGGUGCAACACCAAUUGACGAAUUGACGUUGCAAGAUUCUCGGGAAAUGGCGUCCAGAAGCAAGGCUCUGAAACAAGGGUUCAUCAUUAAACCAAGGAGAGGAUGAUGAGGUGGCUGAUGGGCUAAGGACAAUUCAUCGAGAUUCCCAAAAGAUGGAUUUCCACAAUUAUGUGAACAAGGAGAUAACAUUCGUCAGAUCAAAUGAUAUAAGGAUGUAUGCUCGAGGAAAACAUACACAAUCAAACAUUGGUUGAAAUGUGCGCCCGAAAUAUGGGCUGGGUUGCACGAUCAAUGUUUAGACUGGUAAUUCAAUAACCGGUAGGCUAAGAAUGAACUAUCGAUCAUUCAUUUCAAAGCAAUAGGGUUGCUAGAAGAGCAGAAUCCAAACAGCACCGUGCACUUGUUGGUACCCCGGUUAGAACCAACACGGGGACCAAGAAAGAAUGAUGAUGGGGAGAAGCAUCACUAUACCAAGAAUUCUUAAGAGGUGGAGCAAUCUCAAGACAUUCCUGACAUAAAAGAUGGUAAUACUCCAAGGUAAAGAAGAACUAAGGCUGGAUAGCAAGGAUCUCAAGGUACAACACAAAACACGAACAAGUUUGUGUUGAACGGAAGGCAAUAAAGUGGUCAAUGAUAACACAAAUCAUCGGGGGCAAGGAUGGUAUUUCUCAUCAUGAAUUCAAGUGCUAUCCUGGAAGAGCUCAGAAUGCCGAUGAUGAUCACGACACAUUUGUCGAUAGAUUUCAUGAAGAUGUAAUCGAUUGGCGAUGACAUCAAGUCAAAGGAAUGAUGAAGCGAAAGGAUAUUGGAACCAUGGGUAUGACACAAAUUCGAAAUCAAGCUUGCUGUUCAAGGUGAAAUGGUAUUAUGGGGAAGAUCGACGUAAGAUUUGCUCACCGUCGAAAGUUGUGCUCCGGGAAGAAGGACCGGGUGGCACAGUUUAAAAUUUAGCACGAUAAUGAUAUAGCCAAUCAGGCUAGGAAUGACGUGUUUGGGUACAAACUCGUAAGUAAAGAAGAUUACUAAAGUUGUUGAACCGUAGUGCGGACUCAGUUCAGUUAUCGGUGUCUUUGAGUGUUUAAUAACUGAGAGCCCGUGAAAAAUUGGAAUCAGUGAGAAUGUAGUACUUGAUGAAGAACUCAUAAGAAGUUAUGAUGUUUUGUGUUUAUCUCGAGAUACCAGGGGGUAAUACUCGACGAUAGAUUAAAGUAAAAGGUUGGACAGGUGCAAUGUGAAGGAAAUAUGCCCUAGAGGCAAUAAUAAAAGUAUUAUUUAUUUCCUUGUAUCAUGAUAAAUGUUUAUUAUUCAUGCUAGAAUUGUAUUAACCGGAAACAUAAUACAUGUGUGAAUAUAUAGACAAACAGAGUGUCACUAGUAUGCCUCUACUUGACUAGCUCGUUAAUCAAAGAUGGUUAUGUUUCCUAGCCAUAGACAUAAGUUGUCAUUUGAUUUACGAGAUCACCUCAUUAGGAGAAUGACGUGAUUGACUUGACCCAUUCCGUUAGCUUAGCACUCGAUCGUUUAGUAUGUUGCUAUUGCUUUCUUCAUGACUUAUACAUGUUCCUAUGACUAUGAGAUUAUGCAACUCCCGUUUACCGGAGGAACACUUUGUGUGCUACCAAACGUCACAACGUAAAUGGGUGAUUAUAAAGGUGCUCUACAGGUGUCUCCAAAGGUACUUGUUGGGUUGGCGUAUUUCGAGAUUAGGAUUUGUCACUCCAAUUGCCGGAGAGGUAUCUCUGGGCCCACUCGGUAAUGCACAUCACUAUAAGCCUUGCAAGCAUUGUGACUAAUGAGUUAGUUGCGGGAUGAUGUGUUACGGAACGAGUAAAGAGACUUGCCGGUAACGAGAUUGAACUAGGUAUCGAGAUACCGACGAUCAAAUCUCGAGCAAGUAACAUACCGGUGACAAAGGGAACAACGUAUGUUGUUAUGCGGUCUGACCGAUAAAGAUCUUCGUAGAAUAUGUGGGAGCCAAUAUGGGCAUCCAGGUCCCGCUAUUGGUUAUUGACCGGAGACGUGUCUCAGUCAUGUCUACAUAGUUCUCGAACCCGUAGGGUCCGCACGCUUAACGUUACGAUGACAGUUUUAUUGAGUUUUGAUGUACCGAAGGAGUUCGGAGUCCCGGAUGAGAUCGGGGAUAUGACGAGGAGUAUUGAAAUGGUCGAGACGUAAAAAUCGAUAUAUUGGACGACUAUAUUCAGACUUCGGAAAGGUUCCGAGUGAUUCGGGUAUUUUUCGGAGUACCGGAGAGUUACGGGAAUUCGUAUUGGGCCUUAAUGGGCCAUACGGGAAAGGAGAGAAAGGCCUCAAAAGGUGGCCGCACCCCUCCCCAUGGUCUGGUUCGAAUUGGACUAGGGAAGGGGGGCGCACCCUUCCUUCUUUCUCCUUCGCCCUUCCCUUCUCCUACUCCCACAAGGAAAAGAGGAGUCCUACUCCCGGUGGGAGUAGGACUCCCCCCAUGGCGCGCCUCUCCCCUUGGCCGGCUGCCUCCCCCUUGCUCCUUUAUAUACGGGGGCAGGGGGGCACCCCAGAGACACAACAAUUGAUCCUUGAGAUCUCUUAGCCGUGUGCGGUGCCCCCUCCACCAUAUUACACCUCGAUAAUACCGUUGCGGAGCUCAGGCGAAGCCCUGCGUCGGUGGAACAUCAUCAUCGUCACCACGCCGUCGUGCUGACGAAACUCUCCCUCAACACCCGGCUGGAUCGGAGUUCGAGGGACGUCAUCGAGCUGAACGUGUGUAGAACUCGGAGGUGCCGUACGUUCGGUACUUGAUCGGUCAGAUCGUGAAGACGUACGACUACAUCAACCGCGUUGUGAUAACGCUUCCGCUGUCGGUCUACGAGGGUACGUGGACAACACUCUCCCCUCUCGUUGCUAUGCAUCACCAUGAUCUUGUGUGUGCGUAGGAAAAUUUUGAAAUUACUACGUUCCCCAACACAAUGAUCUGCAGAGGACAAGUGGUUUAACUUGUCUGAGAAAUUGAAUCAAGGGGAACAGUAUGGUCAGAACCACAUUUGUAAAUGAUCAAACCACGGAUACAAGAACUUAUAACAAGGGGGUAACUAUUUUACGAGAAGCUUCCAUGAUAAGAUUACAUCGUGUCCAUGGGCAUGAACACAAAGUUCAAGGUCGACUCCCACUUCUUUAAUGCAUAACCUUUCAUUCACUUCUCGCCUUCAACGAAGUUGUGUGUUGAAAUUUUAUCUGACAUAACACCAGUAGAGUAUGACCCGUAGUAGUUUCCGGGUUCACACAGAUUAGAGAAGGCAUAUGUCCAACCCAUCGGGGCCUCUUAGGAACAUAUACCACAAACUUCGAGAGUAAUUAUCACUAGCUCGAAAGCUGAGCAUGGUUGAGAAAGUAGAGGAUACCAUUUUGCAAAGACAUUAUGUAUCCUAGGAAAGGCUCACAAGGUUAUUGAAUAUGAAGGACAUUGUCGGAUAAAAUCCAACAAAGGAUCUGGUGGUCCACAAAAGGAUCUGAUGUGAGUAUCGACACACAACCAGAGGAAGAAUCAAUGCAAAGACAUUGGAUUAUAGAAACAACUAAAUAACUUAGAACUCAAUUGUAAAGGAAUUAUGAUUUACAAAGCGAAAGAUCAGAAGCAGACGCUCUGAUCAAGGAUGGAUAAGUUCAAUAGACUUAGGGGCACAAUCGACGACAAUUUGAUUGGCGAGAACCAGCUCAUGCUUAAAAUGACAUCUGAGUCGGAAGGAUGAAUUCUAGUAUCUGUUUGAGGAUUGCGAGCAUUGGCAACAAAUUGAAUUAACGGACUCAAAAUGAUAAUGACAAUGGAUGUCAACAAGAUUACUAGACUUAAGAUUAAUCAUAAUGCAAGUAAGCAAGAAUUUCAAGAGCAAAAAGGCUCCUGAGGAUUUUCGGAAGAUCGAAUGGUAUUUUGAACACUUUUGUGAAAUACUUGAAUCAACUGGGGAUGAGCGGAUACUCGGUAAGUGCGAGAAUUAUCUGUAGGGGUAUUCAGGUGACAAAGAACAGCAAGGCAGUAAGCUCAAAGGAUUCUCGGAACAACAGAGAGAAUUUCGGGGUAUCUUGUAAUAACAAGAUCAACUGGGAAACAUUGUAUGAAUGUCGAGUAUACGUGGUUAUCCAUAGGAGUUUAUCGAUGGAAGGGAAUUGCAAAAGCGAUGAACACAAGUUCUCAGGUUAACAGCGGAGAGUGUCUUCAGGGUCUUCACGUGCAGCAGACGAUCAUCAGUAAUAAGGGGCUCUCCGGGUGAAAGUGAUAACGAGAUCCUAAUGUUAGAUUUAGCAAAACUCAUUUAACCCGAAUAGGAGAGAGUUCAGAGUCCCGGAGUAAAGGUCGAGGAGUAAAAGAUCCUAGUACCACCCAAUGGAGACGUGGGCCCGUAAGCCGCACAACCAUGUUAGUAAAAACUUUUUCAAAGACUAGACUCGACUUCGGCCAAGGACUUGGAAAGGGGGAUUCCUACAAGCAGUCGGCUCUGAUACCAACUUGUGACGCCCCCGAUUCAAUCGUACACUAAUCAUGCACACAAACGUGUACGAUCAAGAUCAGGGACUCACGGAAAGAUAUCACAACACAACUCUAAAACAUAAAUAAGUCAUACAAGCAUCAUAAUACAAGCCAGGGGCCUCGAGGGCUCGAAUACAAGUGCUCGAUCAUAGACGAGUCAGCGGAAGCAACAAUAUCUGAGUACAGACAUAAGUUAAACAAGUUGCCAUAAGAUGGCUAGCACAAAUUGGGAUACAGAUCGAAAGAGGCGCAGGCCUCCUGCCUGGGAUCCUCCUAACUACUACUGGUCGUCGUCAGCGGGCUGCACGUAGUAGUAGGCACCUCCGGUGUAGUAGGAGUCGUCGUCGACGGUGGCGUCUGGUUCCUGGGCUCCAGCAUCUGGUUGCGACAACCAGGUAGAAAGGAAAGGGGGAAAAGAGGGAGAAAAGCAACCGUGAGUACUCAUCCAAAGUACUCGCAAGCAAGGAGCUACACUACAUAUGCAUGGGUAUAUGCAUAACGGGCCAUAUCGGUGGACUGAACUGUAGAAUGCCAGAAUAUGAGGGGGAUAGCUAAUCCUGUCGAAGACUACGCUUCAGGCCACCUCCAUCUUGCAGCAUGUAGAAGAGAGUAGAUGGUAAGUUCACCAAGUAGCAUCGCAUAGCAUAAACCUACCCGGCGAUCCCCUCCUCGUCGCCCUGUUAGAGAGCGAUCACCGGGUUAUAUCUGGCACUUGAAAGGGUGUGUUUUAUUAAGUAUCCGAUUCUAGUUGUCAUAAGAUCAAGGUACAACUCCGGGUCGUCCUUUUACCGAGGGACACGGCUAUUCGAAUAGAUAAACUUCCCUGCAGGGGUGCACCACAUAACCCAACACGCUCGAUCCCCUUUGGCCGGACACACUUUCCUGGGUCAUGCCCGGCCUCGGAAGAUCAACACGUCGCAGCCCCACCUAGGCUCAACAGAGAGGUCAGCACGCCGGUCUAAAUCCUAUGCGCGCAGGGGUCUGGGCCCAUCGCCUAUUGCACACCUGCAUGUUGCGUACGCGGCCGGAAGCAGACCUAGCCCCCUUAAUACAAGCGCGAGCUUACGGUCCAAUGCGGCGCGCGCCACUCAGUCGCUUACGUCAAAAAGAGCUUCGGCUGAUACCACGACGCCGAGUGCCCAUAACUGUUCCCGCGUAGUUGGUUAGUGCGUAUAGACCAAAUGGCCAGACUCAGAUCAAAUACCAAGAACUCGUUAAGCGUGUUAUUAUUAAGUAUCCGCGGACGCCGACCAGGGCCAGGCCCACCUCUCUCCUAGGUGGUCUCAACCCGCCCUGUCGCUCCGCCACAGAGUAACAGUCGGGGGCCGUCAGGAACCCAGGCCCACCUCUACCGGGAUGGAGCCACCUGUCCUUUCAGCCCCCUCAUCAGAAUCGCUUGCGGGUACUCAACGAGCUGACCCGACUUUAGUCACCACAUGAGUCAUGUAUAUAAAGUAUAUAGUAUAUACCCGUGAUCACCUCCCGAAGUGAUCACGACCCAGUAGUAUAGCAUGUCAGACGGACAAGAGUGUAGGGCCACUGAUGGAACACUAGCAUCCUAUACUAAGCAGUAGGAUAGCAGGUAAGGGUAACAACUGUAGCAACAAUGAUAGGCUAUGCAGCAGAAUAGGAUUAACCGAAAGCAGUAACAUGCUACACUCUUCUAAUGCAAGCAGUAUAGAGAAGAAUAUGCGAUAUCUGGUGAUCAAGGGGGGGGGGAUUGCCUGGAAGCUCCGCUGAAAGGGAAGAAGGGUCGUCGUCGACGUAGUCGAUCACAGGGACAUCAGCAGCGGUCUCGGGGUCUACCGGAGAAGAAGAGGGGGCAGAAACAGUAAAUAUAAGGCACACAGAUGCAUGACAUGACAAUAAGCAGUAGUAGGCCUGUUCUAACGUAGCACUACACGGUACCGGCGAAGGGGGAUAACAUCCAGGAAAGUUUUCCCGAAGUUUGUCAUUAUCGGACAGAUGAAACGGAGGGGAAAGGUUGCAUGUUCGCUAUGCUAGGGGCACGUGACAGAUGAACGGAGAGCGUAUUUGAAUUCGUCUCGUCGUUCUGAGCAACUUUCAUGUAUAAAACUUUUUCAUCCGAGUUACGGAUUAUUUUCUAAGAUUUUUCAAAGAUUUAACAAUACCCGGAAAAAUCCUGAAAUUUUGCUAAGUCUGAGAAUUCGUCAGUUUUUAACAUCACUUAGCUGUUUUCAAAAGGCUACAGCUAUUGUUCUGUCUAUCCUGUGAAUUAGUGCCUUAUAUCAAAUCUGAGCACUUUGCUGUGAUCUAAAUGAUAGUAUCAAGUGCAGCUAUGUUAGCAUCCAUUUGCUUGAUCAAAACUUUGUUGGAAAAGUGCUACUUCAACAUUUCUGUUUCUGCUUUUCAGUUAACAGAACGUAGUAAUUUGUGAUUUUUGUAGGAUUUAAUCCACGCAUCAAAUGGACUUGGUCCAGUGGGGUAUACUGAAGCUUGUCAUGUAUAAUUUCUACACAUAUUAUUUUCAGUCAUGUUAACAACUGUUUAACCAUAGUUUAAGGGUUGUCUAGGGGGUUACUCAUUGUAGAUUUAGAAAAGCUAGAACCAUCUACAGUAGCAAGCAGCGGUACAGUAGAGCAGGAGCAAGCAGGCGAGGGCGCUGCAGCAGGGGAGUCAAGGCUGUGCGCGAGGCGGACGGGCGCGCGUACGCGCAGGCGCGGUCGGGGUGCUCCGGCGGGCAGCCAGUAGAGUAGCUGCUUGCGGCAGCGGCAACAGCAAUAGGCAGGGCAAGUAGCAGCGGCAGUAGCAUCAGGUAGCAGGAGCGGCAGCUAGCAGCGGCAACGCAAACCAUUAGCGCUAGCGGCGGCGGCAGCAAAGCGAAGGCAACAACAAGGACAGAGAGCAGUGGCAGGAUGCACGCAUGUACGCGUACGCGUACGCGGGAUCUCGGACGAACUCGGGGAUGACGACUACGGCAACGGAUCGAGAGGGCAAGCAGGGGGAAUGGGGGAGGAGCUCACAGUGCAUCCUUGGCGUGCUCAGGGAGGGUCGGGGUGGACUGGAGCCACAACAACGACGGUGAGUUGGUGACGGCCGGACGAAGGGGACGAAGACAACGUCAGCUCGAGGGCGUCCUGGCUUGAGCUAGUCCCCGGGACGGACGAAGCCGGCCGCGGCGGACCUCCUGGACGUGCCCCCGCACGCCGGAGACGAUGGUGGCCGCGACGAUGACGGCGAGAGGUGUCGGGCGCGAGAGUGGCACANNNNNNNNNNNNNNNNNNNNNNNNNNNNNNNNNNNNNNNNNNNNNNNNNNNNNNNNNNNNNNNNNNNNNNNNNNNNNNNNNNNNNNNNNNNNNNNNNNNNNNNNNNNNNNNNNNNNNNNNNNNNNNNNNNNNNNNNNNNNNNNNNNNNNNNNNNNNNNNNNNNNNNNNNNNNNNNNNNNNNNNNNNNNNNNNNNNNNNNNNNNNNNNNNNNNNNNNNNNNNNNNNNNNNNNNNNNNNNNNNNNNNNNNNNNNNNNNNNNNNNNNNNNNNNNNNNNNNNNNNNNNNNNNNNNNNNNNNNNNNNNNNNNNNNNNNNNNNNNNNNNNNNNNNNNNNNNNNNNNNNNNNNNNNNNNNNNNNNNAAAUAGGCGGGAUGGGGCGCCGAUGGUCGCCACCGCGGCCAUGGCGCCGUGGAUGGCCGCCACGGCAUCGUCUGCUUGUGUAGCGGGAGGAAGGGGAAAACGGGGGGGUGUUGGGCUGGGCUGUGCAGGCCUGCUAGAUAGAUGGGCCACGUGGCCCAAGGGAGGGGGCUUUGUUUUAUUUCUGUUUUCUUUUCUUUUAUUUUCUUUUUACAUGUUUAUUUAACUUCCACAAUACUUUAAUUAGUUAAAAUACAAAAGUAGUUUCUAAAUUAUUGUACUAUUUAUACCUCUGCCACAAAAAGUUCUAGUCCUAAAUAAAAUAGUUUGCUAAUUUAUAAAAUAAGAAAAGGCAUUUAACUAAUUGUUUUAGCUACUGUUUUCAUUAAUUUUGAGCACUUAAACAUUUUAUAAAAAUUUGGUUUCUUUCACAAACAAUACUUUAUGAAUUAUUUACCACAGUUGCACAUUUUAGAUUUGACAUUUGAUAACUUUUAUUGUUUGACUUUAUUUUAAACUUGAAUUUUGAAUUGGUUAGAAUCAACGUGGGACCUAGCAACAGUAAAAGCGAUGACAUGGCAUCAUUAGCAAAGAUUACUGUAGCUUAAUUAUCCGGGCGUUACACUUUCCCGGUUGGCUACGACGGUCAUUUCGUUCAUGUCACAACCUCUCCAUCGACCAAACUCCAUCCUCCUCGGCAGGCGACCCCGAUAACUCCGCAAAUCGAAUCAAACAAGCUCCUCGAGUUUGGUGUGAGUGCUUGAAGAAGACUCUUUGAGAAAGGGUUUCAAAAUUGGAAAACUGACUUUAGACUUUUUACCAAAUCUAUUGAUUGUGAACUCUUUGUGCACUAAAUUCAUGUGUUGAUGAUGAUGAACUCUUUGCUAAACCCCCGCUUUAGCAAAGAAUUCGAUAUCUUUUUUCGAGGAAUCGAGAGGAUCACUGCCUUUCAUUUCGCGGGUAAAUACAUAUUUACAAGAGGUGGACUCGUUUUGAGAAAAAUCGCUCCAAAAACCCGCUAAAAAAACAAGCCACCUAGCGAAUCCCCUUUGGUGGUUGGUAGUUACCCAAAGCCAUUCCCCUCUGCUUGAUGUCCUCAAGGGCCAGCCUUGCAACCUCGAUGUAGGUCAUACGAGUUCUUUUGAAGAUGGGCCUAUUCCUCUCCUUCCAAAUUUUCUGUACCACUGCGCCGACACUUCUCCUCGCGUGAGAACCAAGAAAUCAUGCCACUGCACCAUUCCACAUUGACAGGAGCAUGCCGCAUGACGAGAACAACUCUCCAUGCAGUUUCUGACCACCAAGGAGAAAGGGCAAUCCUUGCACAGGUGGGUCGCCAUUUCCGAGGAGUUUAGGCAAAGAUGGCAUCUAGUAUCAUUUUGAAUUGUUUUACUUUAUUUUUUUUAAUAUUCACGUGGGUGCAUUUGAGUUAGAGUGUAGAAACUCGAUGUCGCUCUUGAUUGGGCUCCCUAUUGCACGCCAUUGCAUUUCUUUCAUGUUGUUCUCGUUCGGUUGCCUACCACAUGGCCGUUGUAGCGUAUUUUUUAUUUGUAAAAGAUAGCUUGGUUGUAUGAUAGAUUUAAAAAAUAUAUAGAUUGAAAAUUUUCAUGUAUUUUAAAAGAUGUCCAUGAAUUUUUAAAAUGUUCAUGAACUAAAAAAAUAUUCACAAAAUUAUAAAAAUGUUCAUGGGCUUAUAAAUUGUCAAAAAAUAAAAACUAUCCAUGGAUUUGGAAAAUAUUCACAAAUCUGAAAACUGUUCACGAAUUUUAAAAACAUUCACUAAUUUUGAAAGUUUUUUAAAUAUAUUUGGAAGUGUUUAAAAAAUUUAAAACUAAAACCAAAGAAAAAUGAAAAAGGGAAGAUAAAAAUAAUAAAAAAGAAAACCGGCAAAACUGUUGAGAAACAUCGGAAAAAAAGAGAAAAAAAGGGCGAAGAACCUGCUAGAACGUUUUCGAAACAGUUUGUCUAAUUCACAUCUAGAUGUUUUCUAGAAAUGUCACAUCUGAACUCCCACAACUAACAUAGCAACAAGAAACAGAAAAAAAGUUGGGACAAAAAAAAUUAGACCACAAACAUAGUGGACAUCAGGUUAUAUGCGACAUAAUUAUGUCACAUCUAGAUGUGUUAUAGACAGACCCUUCUCGAAAACCUGCUCUGGGGGUUACAGGGGUCAGGCCCAGUACUGUCCAGGAUGUGCGUUUUGUACCAUUUACACAUUAUAUUAUUCCUCGCCUUAAGCUCUAAAUAGGAUUUUCGCUGUUUAAAACCCUCCGGGCUCGCCAUUCAGGCUUUUCCACGGUGUCGCGGCCGCCACGGAAGGACCGCCCGGCCCAGAGCAGACUCACCCUGCAUCCAUCUAUCUCCCCUAAAACCCUAAAAACACGAGAAGCCCUACUCUGCCUCUCCUCCCCCGAAUUGCCGCCUCUCCUCCACCGGAGAGAGAAGCCAAGGAAGGAUGCCGCGGAUCACUUCGGUGGAGAGCCCCGGCUGCCCGCCGCUCCGCGCCAUCACCACCGACAUCCUCGGCCUCAUCAAAGGUACUGCCGCCUUGCCCGAAUUCGCCGCCUCCCCUCCGCCGCCACCUGCUGCUCACUGUUCCUUCUCCGUUUUAAUCCCGGCGCAGUCGUCGAGGCCCGCACUAGACCGGCGGGCGUCGCCAAGGUCGUCGAGACGUGGGGCGAACCCGACGCCUCCAGGGCCAUCCUCGUCGCUUCACUCGCCGACCGAGCCGUCGACCCCGUCAGUCCCCCUCUACCAGCUCAGCUCAGCUCUCUCUCAUGAGCUCUUGGUCCAUCACGGUUGCUCAUUCCUAUAAUCGCGAUUGUCUAUUGUGUUGCGUUUUGCAGGUUUUGGCUGUGGCAAGGAAGAACGGUGUGGUGAGUGACUGCUGCUUCUCAGAGUUGGGACGCUUACCUUGUGUGUCUUUCAGUUGGUUGUUAAUUCCAAAGGUUUUUGUGUAGGUUGAGUUGCUGAAUCCCCUGAAUGGUGAUGCUCUGGCCGCUUUCAAGUUCUCUAGGACAGACCAAACUGUCGGAGCUGUGGAAAAUGAUCCCCUAGUCGCCCUGCACCUCUUCAGAAAACAUGCACCAGACUUAACCACGUAAUUUUCACAUGCUGAUAAUUUUCCCCGUAAUAGAUAUCUUACAACACGUCUACACCUGUAUUAAGUUCCAUAUCAUUGAAAAGUUCAUUGCUCUUCUGCAUUUUGGUGAUAUUGGCCAAAUUGUAUUUACAUUUAGUUGCUCGUUGCAGGUUAGGUACAUUUCUUGCUUGUACGGAGAAGGGCAAAGCAAGUGUGAGAUCUGUUGCAAAAGAAAACACGGCAUCUGACUCGGAUGUUGGGCCAUCAAGCACUUGGGACGUGUGUAACAAGGGUACAUUGCAGUUUUCAUCUGUGGAUGCUGGUGAAAACUAUGCAAUGUUCGGAGGGUGAGUUGACUAUAACCUCUAGCAUGCGAUUGCCUAAUACUGUGGCUGCAUUCCUUUUAUUUACCAGCUUUUCUGUAUGAGAUGUGAAAAUCAUUUAGGAAAUUUGUGGCGUUUUAACAGUUAUUUCAUUCAUUUUAGGAAUGGUAUGGAAGUAAACUUGUGGGAUAUCACAUCUUGUAGUAAGAUGUGGUCUGCUAAAUCUGUAAGUACCAAUCUGUUUUUUUUUUCUUAUUAGCUGAUAUAUUAGCAAACUAUUGUCCAUGUUAACUUUAUUUUGAUCUCACAGCCCCGAGCUAACAACGUUGGUAUAUUUACCAAACCUUGGUUCACUGCUGGAACUUUCCUGUGCAAGGAUGAUCACCGUAAAAUUGUAGCCGGCACAAAUAAUCAUCAGGUACCAUAUCUCAUCACUGUUAUGCUAACAGAACUCCAAAUUUAAUCUUUUAUGGAUAAAAUUUGCUCAAUGUUUGUGUUAGAAUUCAACAAAUUUAACCAGUUCAGCUCUCUGGCUGCAACGCUGCUGUUGAUGGGGUUUUGUUAUGAUGUGUCUGUUACAUCUGUGUAGUCCCCUCAUAGAUUGUAAAUAAUGAAACCAUUUCAUUUGCUUAAUUGACGUGUUUCUACUUCCUUUUAUGCUAGGCAGUGACUAGCUGUGGAUGUUUGCUACGAUCAUUUGCAUCUGUAAUAUAUUAUGCUGCACUGAUGAUGACUGCUCAACUUCACUAACAACUAAUGGUGUUUUCAUUUUGUGUUUGCCAGGUUCGCUUAUACGAUACUGCUUCGCAAAGAAGACCUGUUGUUUCAGUUGAUUUUAGGGAGUCACCAAUCAAGGCAGUUGCAGGGGAUCCAGAUGGACAUACUGUCUAUAUUGGGACAGGAACAGGAGACCUCGCUUCCUUUGACAUGAGAACAGGUAUGAUAAACAGAUGGUGUGCAGUAUCUUUUAAUGGAACUGAGUAUUUUUGGAACAUGUUCCUUUUCUAGUGUUAAAAUAGCUUAUAUUCAGUUUAGGUAACUACUGAAUUUUGAAGAUUUGAAUUUCGAGAUAGACCUGUGUUUUCUUAAACUUCAACCCAUGUGUCACAAGUCUACUCCUAUUUAAUCAUCAGAUCCACUUCAUGUUUGCUGUUUUGUAUAGGCAAUAAUGGUAUGAAGUACCUAUAUUGGUCUGUUCUUUAUUUUAUUUUGUCUACUAAUCGACAGAUAGUUAGUGACAUGCAGUUGCAGCUAAUGGAAAUGGUAGAGCUGAAAUAUUUAUCAGCAUUUCUACAUGUUAGAGUUCGAUAUAUAAUCUUUAACUGAUCGGAGAUUGCGUAGCACUUAGUUUAUUAUUAAAUAAAAUGACAUGGACAAAUGAUUAUGGCUAAUAACAACCCAAGGUACAAUGUAUGCGAGUAUAGCUUAUUUUACAGUGUUGUGAUUGGUGUGUACCUUUUUUACAGGAAAACUACUCGGAUGCUAUGUUGGUAAAUGCAGUGGAAGUAUUAGAUCGAUAGUUAGGCAUCCGGAGCUGCCUUUGAUAGCAUCUUGCGGUGAGUAAUAAAUUUUCAUUUAUUUCAGAUUGAUUUAUUUUGAAUGCAACAUAUAGUUUUAUGUUCCCUCAAUUUUGUUGUGCACUUUUACUUUUUAUUGGCUGUCUUUGUUUGUACUUCUUUGAACUAACUCAGGAUAUUAUUUUGGUCUUUGUAGGAUUGGACAGCUACUUGCGAAUCUGGGAUACAAAUACAAGGCAGCCGCUUUCUGCGGUAUGUCUAAAAUUAAUUUCAUAGCAUUCAAAUUAAGCUUGAAGCUUGUUGUUGCUCCUUGCAAAAUUGAUGCUAUUUUUAUUCAUAUUGCUCUAAUUGUUUUCUGGUCCAUUUUGACAUGUGUGUAUAUAAAUGAAUUUAUUAUAGUGAGCAUGAAGAUAUCAUUGACUAGCCAAAUAUGUUAUGACUUAAUCUUGGGCUACUCUUUAUUACUCCCUCCGUAUCAAACUAUAAGAUGCUUUUUAGGCUAAACUAGCCUACAAAAACCUCUUAUAUUUUGGUACAGAGGUAGUACCUAAAAAACAUAUAAUCCUAAAAUCGAGUGUGCAAGUUCAUUUAUACAUGUCGGUGUAUAUGAUAGAUGAUUUUGCGUUUCUAUCUUGGCUAACCUUGUACUCUAGUUAAUUGGCCUUUAGUGAUCUUACUACUGGUUAUACACCAUGGUUCUUCAUUUUAAACUCUUCAUGAUCUAACACAUGUUCAUUGGUUGGUAACAGGUCUAUCUCAAGCAGCACCUCAUGACAGUGGUUAUUGAUUCACAUUUCUCAGCUGAAGGUUUGUCUCUCUCUCUCUCUCUCUCUCUCUCUCUGCGGGGGAGUUAUGUAUUUUCAGUAGCUAUUCUAGGUUAUGUGCUCUGUUUUCCGUUGUUGUUGUGGUAAGUCAGAUGUGAGAGUGGCCAUUGUUUUUUACAUUCAUGUUAUCUUGAAUGGUGCUUGUUGUAAUGGGCAAAGUGCUUCCUUUAGGACUGAAACAUGUUGACUUGUUAAAUUUCAUUGGAUGUGGAACUGAUAAUUAUAGUUAGGAAAGUAUUGCUUCUUUUUACUCGGAACACUUCUGAGUUCUGACCUGUAAUCUUAAAAUGGCGUACGUCUUAACUGCAUCUUGAUGAAUGCCUUGAGGUUUGAGGUACUGUGCUAACACUACUGUUGUGUCUAGAAUCUGAGGAGACUAAAUCCAAGCAGCCAGAUUCUUCAAUGGUGGCUGAAGCUGCAGUCAGAAGGGAAAAAAAGAAAAAGAAGAAUGUAUUUGUUGAAGAGGAUGAAGAAGGAACUCAAAUGGUGGACCCUGAUGACUGUGAUGCUGAAGCAGUCAGAAAGGAAAAGAAGAAAAAGAAGAAGAAAACUGUUACAGAGGAUGAUGAAGAAACACAAAUGGUCGACCCGGAUGAAGGCGAUGCUGAAACAGUCAGAAAGGUAAAGAAGAAAAAGAAGAAUAGAAGGGUUGCAGAGGAUGAGGAAGGAACUCAGAUGGCUGACCUUAAUGACAGUGAUGCUGAGAUGUAUGCCCCAAAGAGAAUAAAAUCUGAAUCUGGCGAAAGAAGCAAAGGCACGAAAAAGAAAAGCAAGAAGCAACAAGUUGCCUAGGACAUUUGGUGUGCUGGAAUUAUUGACGUCUGACCAUGGUGCUUGCCUUAGUGAAUUUGUAAAAGAAUGCCUUUUAAGUACAAGUUCAUUCAAACUUGAACGGUAUGGUUCAUUUGUAACUUUUCCUUGAAAUAUUACCUGCUGUUUUACAAUAUUAUGAUAAGUUAUUUGAAAAUAUUAUCAAACUUGAACGGUAUGGUUCAUUUAUACUAUCAUCUGACUCUGUGUUCUCAUCUUGGUUAGUUUGUACCGAAGUAGCAAUGGUCUAGUUGAGCGUGGACAACGUCAGUCCUGUUGGUGUAGUGAAAUUAAUGCAAGUUCCUGGACAUUUGAAAUUUGAACUAUUUUUGGCUGAAAUGUGUAGGAUCUCUGCCAAUGGAUGUAAGAUAAUAAGUAUGUAUGCAAGUGUUGGGUGAACAUAUAAGAUGCGGAGUCGUGUUGCAGACGAGGUUAAAGACCAUUUUGAUAAUUUCAUGAGACAAGUUGACCAAAAUUGAUUUUUAUACACUUCAUCUCUCCAUAUGAAUAGUGCUUUUCUCAUAUGAGCCUUUGCUCUCACCUGUAUAAACUAGUAUUAACUUAUCUCCAUAUGGAAUCAGGGAAGGAUUCUGUCAAUCUUAUUAUGAGACAGCCAAGCCAUAUAAUUUUCCGCCAUCUUUCUUUGCUACCACAGUCAUGUGACUGCCAAACAGCCCAACUGUGCUGGAUAACUUGCUGAAUCAAACAGCUUGAGAUCGCCAUCCCAGCUUUCAGCUAAGGCGAUGUCAUGAUUCUCAACUCCAGGAUCAGGGAUGAUGAAUUCAUCAAAGUCGGAUAACGUUUUCAACUGCGCGCUUAGUGACGCUAUUGUUUUCUGGCAGUCUGCUAGUUUCCCCGCAGCACGAGCUAGCUCUUUCUCCUGUAGAAACCAGUUACUCAUCAGUAACAUAACUUAAAAGUCCUCAACUUUUCAUCACCAGACUUGGUUGCGAUAAUAAAGAGAUACCGUAAAAUUUACCUUUGUGAUGUGCAGGUCUGUACUUGCCAUAGGUUGCACUUCCAUUGGUUUUGGCUGAUGAACUGGAGCUCUGCUGCACAACUCCUGUUUCAAGUCAUGGCAUUGCGCGGCGAACUCCGACGAUUCCGCUCUCUCUUUGAGAAUUUGUUCCUCAAGCAAGUAAAUCUUUCUGUGCGAUUCCUCUGCUUCUUUCUCUUUGAGCUCGAACUGGUUCGUCAUUUUCUUCUUCUGGGCUUCUGAAGCAUCCAGUGCAGUUAUGUAGGCUGAUGACAAGUUCUUCUGUGUCUCCAAUUUCAUUUCCAACUGGCCGGCAUUCUCCUUCAAGCUCUUGAUUUCAGCUUGCGCCGACUUGAGUUGAGAUUCCAGUUCUGCAAUAAACGGUUCUCGUUUCUCCAGAGUCUCUUCAAGCAUGUUAACCUUCUCAUUCAGGGCAAAGACAUCUGAAUUGGCAGCCUGGAGUUGAGAUCUGAGCUCAUCUCUCUCUGCUUCCAGUGCUUGGAGAUCGCGGCACCGCUUUGCGGAUUCAACAGACAAUGCCUUAUCUUGCUGCUCCAGGCUACGCACCUUCUUUUGGAAUGAGACAAUUUCUUGUCCCGCCAGCUCCAGCUCAAUCUCUGCACCCUUGACCUUUGCUUCCAGAGCUUCGACGGCACGGCAUUUCUCUGUGAGCCUCCUCUCUAGCAGGGUGAUCUUGUCGCUGUAUUUUCUGGCGUCAGACUCGAGCUGAGCGCGCAGCUGUUUCGUCUCCGACUCGAGCGCAUCCAUCUGCUGGUAUUUUGCCGCGAGCUCCAGCGUUAGCGCCUUCUCCGAGUCCAGCCGUUCCUCCAGGAUGCGCCCCUUGUCCAACAGGCUCGUGAUCUCGCCAUGGGCCAGCUCAAGUCUACACUCCAGAUCGUUCCUCUUCCUCUCCGCGUCUUGCAUUUCGGCCUCCAUGGCGUGCCUCUCUCCAUUGACGAGAUUCAGCUGCCUCUGCAUCUCAGCUGAUCUCUCCUCUGCCACCAUUGCCCGAUGGCGGCAAGCCCUCAGCUCGCGCUGGGCUUCGUGCAAGGCUUUGUCCUUGUCGGCCACCAGCUUCCUGGCCUUCUCCUCUAGCUUCACCAGCUGACCACCGGUGUCCUCGGCAUAAUUGCUGCUCCUCGAGACGGCGCCGUUGGCUGACGCAAGCUUCUCCAUCUCAAGGAAGUCAUCUAUCACACCGAUGUCGACUGCGGUUGCUAGGCUUGCACUCCUUGUCUCGGUCUUGUACUGGUCGAGCUCGGUGAUGAGAGCCGAUGCCCAUGAGUCGGAGCAGUCCGACUGGCAGUCCGUCACCGACUCGGUACAGAGGGAGCUCGGAGUGCGCCUGAGGUCGCUGCUGAAGGAGGGCCUACGUGCAGUGGCCUGCCCAAAACUCCAGAGACGUUAGCUUCCAACACAGGAGGACAAGAACCGUCCUCUUCACAUAAUAUGAUGCCUCCAAUGGCGCCAAAGCACACAAAGAACGAAGGAUGUGAUCACCUGCAGUUUUCUGCACUCGGCUUCAAGCUUGGCCGCCUUCCUGAUGCUCUCGAGCUGCUGCUUGCUGGCCGCCUCUGCCGCCCUCCUGUUGAGCUCCUUCUCGAUGGUCCUGAGCCCCAGUUCCUCCGUCUUGGCGAGCAGCUGCGCCUUGAGAGCCGAAUUCUCCUUCUCCAGAGAGGCCAGCCUGGAGUUGGCAUCGCCGUCACUGGUCACCGAGCGCUCCGACUUGGCUUCCAGCUUGGCCUUGAGCUCGACAACCCGCAGCUCUAGGUCGGUCUUGUCUGACUCCCACUGCCGAGACUGCAGUGCCAGCGCGCCCUGGACUUUUUGGUCCUGCUCUUCCUUGGCGCGCCGGAGCUGCCGGACGCAUUCCUUGAGCGCGCCAUCCAGCGUUGCGUUUUUGACAGUUGCAGCAUUCAGCUGGGCUUUCAGCGAUGCCAUCUCGUUUUCGGCCUUCUCCCAUCCUGGUGCAAGAAAUGCAUGCAGAAUCUGCUUGUGAAUAAUGUUCAAUCAAAGGCCAUAGAGAUGCAUGCUACUGCAUACCUAGUAAUUUUGUGUGCUGCUUAAUGUUCUUGUUCAGUCAUGUUUAAUUUAACUGCAUACCUAGAACAGCUUCUUCGGCAACUUUGGAAUGCUGCUUCACGAGAUCAUCUUUGGCACGAAUAUCCGAUACCACAGAGGAAAGCCUCUCGCUCAGCACCUUGACUUUCACAUUGCUGUUGUCCUGUGCUUCCUUGGAUGCGACCUCCGGCGAUUUCGGGGAACUCUUGAGGGUGGUAUCCUAAUCAAAGAGGAGACAAACAAGCAGAGUCAAAAUUGUUGCCCCGACAGAAAGAAGAAGCAAACAUUGGUUAGACUAACUUGGCUCAUUUUUUUCAGCUUGUAUGGAGAAUGUUUAAUGCAUAAGCUCAAACUGUGGGCAGCCCGGCACUUGUUCCUCACUGUUGCAUUAGAGUAUUGGAGGGAGGGAGAAAGACAGCCUUGGUCAAAAGACUGCAAGCGAGGGCAGCAGCAGCACAAUCAAGUAGCAGUGGUGCACAUGAAGAGAGCUGGAAUCUUGAUUGCUCUCUCUCUCUCUGCGCCAGCAAGCAUUAUGAGCCAUUUGUGUUGGGCCAAAGGUGAUGGUGCAGCACAUGGAGUGGCCACCAGAAAAACUGCAUCUUGCCCUUGUUGCAGCCAUAAUGUUGGCAGAGAAAAGAGAGUGCCAACUAACACAUCAUCCUUUCCUUGGUAUGCAUCCAUGGAUAGGUAAGGUAGGCUUGUCCUGUUAGCCACGCUGGUACAGGGACAAUAGGACCCCUUACCAUUCCCUUCCCUGCUUCAGUUGGAGGCCUACUAAAAUUGCCACACAGCCAUGAAGAUUGGUCAAUGUUGCCAACCAAAGCAUCAAAUGAGAUUGAAUCCUGCAGCCCAUUAUUGUCAUGUGGCUGAGAUGAAUUGUGUGCCUGUACUAAGGUGGUAUGGUAGAGCUGCUGUUCGGUGGUCUACGGCGUGUAUCCUAGUAUUACCAUUUACCAGAGAGGAGACUAAGACAAAAAAAAAACAUUUAAAAGAGAAAAUUUUAUUCCCCAAAGAAUGACAAGCAAUCUGGCUCUCUUAUAUAUGCUGAUGAAUUCUGAUCCAGCAUUGGGAAUCUCUAUUUAGCCCUAUCCGUUACGUUAUGU